GCAAUCGAACAUAACAUAACUUACAAGGAUAAAUUCCAAGACAAGAUCAAAUUUAUGUAGAGACUUAAGCAAAAUUUGAUACUUAUAGUGCCAUUUGCUCUAUCCAUUGGCUGAUUAAAAAAUAGCUCAAACACAUGACACGAUACCAUCAUGGAAAAUUCUACAUAGUCAGUUAGGGGAAUUCUUAUCAUCAUAUAUUUACAAGAAAAACAUUCGGAUUCAAUCAAUGGUUGAGACAGAACUUUCACCAUCGGCGUGCUCCCCUCCCAAUCAGAGCUUCUUCAAACAAAAUCAUAAAUCUUUAACUGAUAUCCACAAGUUUGGAAUAACUUUAAUUUUGUUUGGCACAAACAGAUUUUUUGAUAACACAAAAUGCUUAUGUCAUACUUCACAAAAAAUUUGAGAAACAGACCAUCAAGUCUAAUCAAAAUAGAAACACAUCUUUUCUCCCCUAAAUUCAUUACUAAUUUUAUUACAUAUAAAUAAAAGGUUCAUUAUAUUCUUGACCAUCAACAUGCAAAUCAUUACAAACGAUUUCACACCUUAUUCACACACACACAAAUAGGGAAAUUAUAGAACACAAGCUUCCAAAUAGGGAAAUUAGAAAUCCCUUCCCAUAAAAUUUCACACACACAUAAAAAUUAAACUUACUUCUUCAUUUAGUAGUAGAAGAAGCGGAAGUACAUUCAGAAGCAACAUCAGUUUCCACUUCCCUUCUGUGGAAAUUGCGGUGGCAGCCACAGGCUGCACAAUUUAGGGUGCCGGAAGUAGUGCCCUCGGGCAUGUACUCCCGGCACCCAUCGAUAACGUAUCCACCGACACUAGCAGCAUGAUUUCUCUGGCACUCAACAUAUCUCACUCUCCUCAUGGUAAAGGAUGAAUUUGUAGAAUUUCUUGAGUAAUCAUUUCUCCUCAAAAUUUUUUUCAUCUCUUCUAAUGAUUCAGACAAAUGAGAAAAUUGAAUAUGGCAUAUGUGUUACUGGAAGCUAGAGAAUAAU
RNAcentral lists this unclassified non-coding RNA (998 nucleotides) under Hevea brasiliensis (rubber tree). The record is from RNAcentral. Lineage: Eukaryota; Viridiplantae; Streptophyta; Magnoliopsida; Malpighiales; Euphorbiaceae.